Molecule: ribosomal RNA, 253 nt
Filed under: uncultured bacterium
Lineage: Bacteria
Description: partial 16S ribosomal RNA
Rfam family: Bacterial small subunit ribosomal RNA
Source: RNAcentral
UACGAAGGGGGCUAGCGUUGCUCGGAAUCACUGGGCGUAAAGGGUGCGUAGGCGGGUCCUUAAGUCAGGGGUGAAAUCCCGGAGCUCAACUCCGGAACUGCCUUUGAUACUGGGGAUCUUGAGUCCGGAAGAGGUGAGUGGAACUCCGAGUGUAGAGGUGAAAUUCGUAGAUAUUCGGAAGAACACCAGUGGCGAAGGCGGCUCACUGGUCCGGUACUGACGCUGAGGUGCGAAAGCGUGGGGAGCAAACAGG